Molecule: ribosomal RNA, 397 nt
Filed under: uncultured bacterium
Lineage: Bacteria
Description: partial 16S ribosomal RNA
Rfam family: Bacterial small subunit ribosomal RNA
Source: RNAcentral
AUCCGGAGGAUGCAAGCGUUAUCCGGAUUUAUUGGGCGUAAAGAGCGUGUAGGCGGCCAAGCAAGUCCGACGUGAAAUCUGGAGGCUUAACCUCCAGCGGUCGUUGGAAACUGUUUGGCUAGAGUCCGGAAGAGGAGAGUGGAAUUCCUGGUGUAGCGGUGAAAUGCGCAGAUAUCAGGAAGAACACCUAUGGCGAAAGCGGCUCGUGAGGCCGGUACUGACUCUGAGACGAGAAAGCGUGGGGGGCAAACGGGAUGAGAUCCCCCGGUAGUCCACGCCGUAAACGAUGGGUGCUAGGUGUGGGCGGUGACGACUCCGUCCGUGCCGAAGCUAACGCAUUAAGCACCCCGCCUGGGGAGUACGGCCGCAAGGCUAAAACUCAAAUGAAUUGACGGGG